This 438-nucleotide long non-coding RNA is filed under the name Mus musculus (house mouse). RNAcentral describes it as "predicted gene, 36486". Lineage: Eukaryota; Metazoa; Chordata; Mammalia; Rodentia; Muridae. The record is from RNAcentral.
AUCUAUUGUUCUGCCCUCCCUCAGCUCUGGCCUCCGUGGCACUGACUGUCCCUCGGCUGGCAUGUACCAGUGCCUUGUUCUACGGUGAUGUCUCACGGGGCAUGUCCUGUCAUCUGGUGUCCAGCAGAGUUGAGCAUCUCAGAGCAUGUAACCUCCGCAAACCGGCUUUCUCACAGCCUUCCGGGGAGUAUGCUGCAUGCCUUGGUGUUUUCUCUGCGUGUGUACACACCAUGUGAGUGCAGUGACUUCGGAGGCCUGAAGAGGGCGUCAGAUCCCCCGGGACUGGAGUGACGGUUGUGAGUCACAUGUAGGUGCAAGGAAGGAGAUUGAACUGGUCUUCUGUGUAAGCAAUAUCAAAUAUGAAAAUUUUUUCUAUCAAAUACUGUAAAAUCUGUUUGGGACAUUGGAAUUAAAAUUCUUUGUCUUACCCACAUCCUA